AAACUGCGAUAAGUAGCGUGAAUUGCAGACGCUUUGAACGUUAAACUUUCGAACGCACAUUGCGCCAUAGGAGUCCUACCCUAUGGCACAUCUGGUUGAGGGUCGUGAUUAAAAACAGCAGGAAAACGGCUGUAUUUUAUGACAAAUUGGUUCUGUAGGUUGGUUUGGGGGGAGAGUAGGUGAAUUCCCUUGCCCCACGGAUGGGCAUAACGGCUGAGGACUAGUUCCGGCCCGUAGUGUACCAUACAUACGCCUAGUGCGUAAGUGCAUUAUGGGUGUCUGUGAAUCGGCUGAUAUGACCUAUACGUGCCGGGUUUUGUCGGUAGACGAUCGACUUCCCGACCUCAACUCAGGUGUGAUUACCCGCUGAACUUAA
This 376-nucleotide unclassified non-coding RNA is filed under the name uncultured fungus. RNAcentral describes it as "sequence contains ITS1". The stretch from base 1 to 105 matches the Rfam family "5.8S ribosomal RNA", at positions 50 to 154 of the family's 154-position model. Lineage: Eukaryota; Fungi. The record is from RNAcentral.